RNAcentral lists this ribosomal RNA (420 nucleotides) under bacterium. RNAcentral describes it as "partial 16S ribosomal RNA". It matches the Rfam family "Bacterial small subunit ribosomal RNA", at positions 355 to 776 of the family's 1533-position model. The record is from RNAcentral.
UGGGGGAUAUUGCACAAUGGGCGAAAGCCUGAUGCAGCGACGCCGCGUGGGGGAUGAAGGCUUUCGGGUUGUAAACCUCUUUCGCUAUCGAACAAGGCCCGCUUAGGGUGGGUUGAGGGUAGGUGGAGAAGAAGCGCCGGCUAACUACGUGCCAGCAGCCGCGGUAAGACGUAGGGCGCGAGCGUUGUCCGGAAUUAUUGGGCGUAAAGGGCUUGAAGGCGGCUUGUUGCGCCUGCUGUGAAAACGCGGGGCUUAACUUCGCGCGUGCAGUGGGUACGGGCAGGCUUGAGUGUGGUAGUGGUGACUGGAAUUCCAGGUGUAGCGGUGGAAUGCGCAGAUAUCUGGAGGAACACCGAUGGCGAAGGCAGGUCACUGGGCCAUUACUGACGCUGAGGAGCGAAAGCAUGGGUAGCUAACAGG